UACGUAGGUGGCAAGCGUUGUCCGGAUUUACUGGGCGUAAAGAGCGCGCAGGCGGUUGUGCAGGUCGCGUGUGAAAGCCCCCGGCUCAACUGGGGAGGGUCACGCGAUACUGUUCGACUUGAAGGCAGGAGAGGGAAGUGGAAUUCCCGGUGUAGUGGUGAAAUGCGUAGGUAUCGGGAGGAACACCAGUGGCGAAGGCGACUUCCUGGCCUGUUCUUGACGCUGAGGCGCGAAAGCUAGGGUAGCAAACGGG
This 253-nucleotide ribosomal RNA is filed under the name uncultured bacterium. RNAcentral's name for it is "partial 16S ribosomal RNA". It matches the Rfam family "Bacterial small subunit ribosomal RNA", at positions 524 to 776 of the family's 1533-position model. The record is from RNAcentral.